AAUUCUCAAAAUCCUAUUCUUUAAUCGGAAUGGGACUUUUGGACUUGGAGGUUCAAUGCUUGCCUUUGCCUUUUGAAAGCAAGCUCCUCUCAAAUAAAUUAGUGGGGUCCGCUUUGCUGGUCCUUGACGUGAUAAGAUGUUUCUACGUUUUGGAUUUGGCACUGUUUUCUGGACGUCUGCUCCUAACCGUCCGUCUCACGGACGACGAUGGUGCUCCGGUCACCGCCCAUCUUUGUGGGCAGGGAGGCUGGGCCCACGGAAAAAC
Molecule: unclassified non-coding RNA, 265 nt
Filed under: uncultured Russulaceae
Lineage: Eukaryota; Fungi; Basidiomycota; Agaricomycetes; Russulales; Russulaceae
Description: sequence contains ITS2
Source: RNAcentral